This 295-nucleotide ribosomal RNA is filed under the name uncultured bacterium. RNAcentral describes it as "partial 16S ribosomal RNA". It matches the Rfam family "Bacterial small subunit ribosomal RNA", at positions 335 to 628 of the family's 1533-position model. The record is from RNAcentral.
UUCCCUACGGGGGGCAGCAGUGAGGAAUAUUGGUCAAUGGGCGCGAGCCUGAACCAGCCAAGUCGCGUGAGGGAAGACGGUCCUAUGGAUUGUAAACCUCUUUUGUCGGGGAGCAAAAGACGCCACGUGUGGCGUUCCGAGAGUACCCGAAGAAAAAGCAUCGGCUGACUCCGUGCCAGCAGCCGCGGUAAUACGGAGGAUGCGAGCGUUAUCCGGAUUUAUUGGGUUUAAAGGGUGCGCAGGCGGACCAUCAAGUCAGCGGUAAAAUCGUGGGGCCCAACCCCAUCCCGCCGUU